UACGAAGGGGGGCUAGCGUUGUUCGGAAUUACUGGGCGUAAAGCGCGCGCAGGCGGUCUUCCAAGUCAGUGGUGAAAGCCUGGAGCUCAACUCCAGAACUGCCAUUGAAACUGUUAGACUUGAGUACGAGAGAGGUGAGUGGAAUUCCCAGUGUAGAGGUGAAAAUUCGUAGAUAUUGGGAAGAACACCAGUGGCGAAGGCGGCUCACUGGCUCGUAACUGACGCUCAGGCGCGACAGCGUGGGGAUCAAACAGG
RNAcentral lists this ribosomal RNA (255 nucleotides) under uncultured bacterium. RNAcentral's name for it is "partial 16S ribosomal RNA". It matches the Rfam family "Bacterial small subunit ribosomal RNA", at positions 524 to 776 of the family's 1533-position model. The record is from RNAcentral.